AUGCACCUCGUACCUUUGACGUUGCCAAAUCCCCAGAACAAUAUCCUGCUGGCAGUCAUGUGGUGCACCCAUCCCGGCGCAAACAGCUUUGGGCAGGAGCCCGAUUGCGAGCUCUUUCUCUCUCUUCCCCCAUGCCAACCUCUCUUGAAAUUAGUAAAUGUUUCCACCAGGCAUUUCAGAGGUGACCUCAGGUCCAGAGCUCGGCGCGCCACGCAAAGCCCCCGGGCACGGCAGCCCACGGAGGACACGCUGCACGCUGCCAAGAGGACGCCCCGCGCGGGACCGCGCGCCCAGGACUGCCAAGCGUGCUCUGUGCACGGCAAAGCCACAGCAAGUCUGCAGAAAGACACAGAUGUGUACAUGAACGCAGCCAGGAAAGACUGAAUUCUUCAGGGGUAAAAUUCAUUUUGGAAGCCCUAAUAAACCAGACCUGCAGGUGAUCCCAGUGCCCACCAGCUGCUCCUACAUCUCCACCAAGGAACCUUUCACAAGAAGAUUCACAACGUGUGUUCCAGUCUUCCCAGGCAAAGCUGGGACAAUGCCUUGCACAACAACCAUUUUUCCUACUACAGCAGCAUCGAGAAGCCUCCUAUGGCUGCGGCUCGCAGGUGCCCAUUAUUCAAAAGGCUGCCCCUUACCUGAGGGGCUCAACUGAGAGAGAGAGAAAGAUGGGAAAACAAAACCAAAGUAACUUGCCCAGUGCCGUGCAGCAAACCGACAGCAGUCUGGUUCACCUUGACUCUUCAGUGACCUGUCUGAUAGGAGCGUACGGUCAGACUCAGGAGAAAGCCUUUAUUUUGGUUUCACCUGACUUAUUUCUGCUUUGGGAGCCAGCAGGGGUUGCCAAACGGCAGCAAGUACAAAUGUAAAGGUCUUCAGCAGAUACCCAAGGGAAACCAAGAAAAAUCUUUAUCUUCAUCUCUUAUCGAUCUUGAUCUUUGUCCACCUGGCACGGAGGGGAACUCCCAGUGUACCACUAGCAGAAGCCACAUACCAGAAAUUAUCAACUGUGAAGUAAAGAAAAAAAAAAAACUGAGGAGGUAAAAGAGAUACAAGGUAAAUAGGAAAAGAGAAGUGCUGUCAGGACCUGAUGGCAAUACUUAGCAUAAGAGUUGUGGGAGUCUCUGGUCUACUGCUAUGGGUAAACAUUUGUCCAAAUGACAGCACAUGGUGGAAAAUUAUGUGAGAUGGGCCAGAACUAAGUCGUGAUUGAUGAGCCUUGGAAGAACAGGACCUGGCUCUCCAAUGUUGGUUUUGCAACCUUUGAUCUUUAUAGCCACGCAUUAUAAAGCGGUUUCAACUUGUAACUAAAUUCCUGACAUACUCAGCUGUAAAAUCCAGACCUAUCCUGAGUAAUAAAACAAAUACAUAAACUGGAACUUAGGUGAGAGAGUCAUCUUUUACCGUCACUUAAUGCUGGGAACACCUAGAGCUCCUUAUAGUAGAUUCAGUAGGAAAGCGUAAUUUUAAGAGCGGCACGAAGGGAUUUUGGCUAGAAACAAAUUCAUUGGGCUGUACAGACUACAUCGUUAAUCCUGCUUGGCCAACUUACAGUGCCUCUAAAGGGCACUGCAGAACAGGCAUCUUGCAAACUGUUAUGUGCACUGUAACUACACCACGUGAUGUUCAUCAAAUAGGACUUCUAUCACACUGUGCAUCAGAGCCACGGGCCUUCUGCAAAAACGUCAUUCUAAGAACUUCUUGCCUACUGUGGAUAUAACCAAUAAAUCAAGGCAGUUGCACAAGCCACAACCUAGGUGGCAUUAAUUAGAUCAGUGGAAGUUAUGAUCCAACCUAAUUAUCACUGCUACCCCACCUACGUUUAAUUUCAGUGUUUCUUCCUAUCUUUC
This is a long non-coding RNA of Cairina moschata (Muscovy duck), 1850 nucleotides long. The record is from Ensembl. NCBI's taxonomy places the organism in Eukaryota, Metazoa, Chordata, Aves, Anseriformes, Anatidae.